RNAcentral lists this ribosomal RNA (292 nucleotides) under uncultured bacterium. RNAcentral's name for it is "partial 16S ribosomal RNA". It matches the Rfam family "Bacterial small subunit ribosomal RNA", at positions 334 to 622 of the family's 1533-position model. The record is from RNAcentral.
GGUACCUACGGGACGCAGCAGUGAGGAAUAUUGGUCAAUGGGCGGAAGCCUGAACCAGCCAAGUCGCGUGAGGGAAUAAGGCCCUACGGGUCGUAAACCUCUUUUGCCGGGGAGCAAGGGCCGGGACGAGUCCCGGUCCGGAGAGUACCCGGAGAAAAAGCAUCGGCUAACUCCGUGCCGGCAGCCGCGGUAAUACGGAGGAUGCGAGCGUUAUCCGGAUUUUUUGGGUUUAAAGGGUGCGUAGGCGGGCUUUUAAGUCAGCGGUAAAAAUUCGGGGCCCAACCCCGCCCGG